Molecule: small nucleolar RNA, 169 nt
Organism: Larimichthys crocea (large yellow croaker)
Lineage: Eukaryota; Metazoa; Chordata; Actinopteri; Sciaenidae
Source: Ensembl
UUGCAUGUUUUGGCCCUGGGCCAUGUUUUGGCCCUGGGCCGGUGUUGGCCUCUCGAUUUUCUGUAGAGAGGACAAGUACAAACAUGCUAGAUUGACAUUUUUGGGGAGUUAACAGGGCCACCAGUCUCUCGAGGUCAGACUGAGUUGGUAGUAUAAAACUCCCACAUUU